UAGGGAAUCUUCCACAAUGGACGCAAGUCUGAUGGAGCAACGGCCGCGUGAGUGAAGAAGGCUUUCGGGUCGUAAAACUCUGUUAUUGAAGAAGAACGUGUGUGACAGUAACUGGUCAUGCAGUGACGGUAUUCAAUCAGAAAGUCACGGCUAACUACGUGCCAGCAGCCGCGGUAAUACGUAGGUGGCAAGCGUUGUCCGGAUUUAUUGGGCGUAAAGCGAGUGCAGGCGGUCUUUUAAGUCUGAUGUGAAAGCCUUCGGCUUAACCGAAGAAGGGGCAUCGGAAACUGG
This 291-nucleotide ribosomal RNA is filed under the name uncultured bacterium. Its description in RNAcentral is "partial 16S ribosomal RNA". It matches the Rfam family "Bacterial small subunit ribosomal RNA", at positions 355 to 636 of the family's 1533-position model. The record is from RNAcentral.